RNAcentral lists this ribosomal RNA (468 nucleotides) under uncultured bacterium. RNAcentral describes it as "partial 16S ribosomal RNA". It matches the Rfam family "Bacterial small subunit ribosomal RNA", at positions 28 to 507 of the family's 1533-position model. The record is from RNAcentral.
GACGAACGCUGGCGGCGUGCUUAACACAUGCAAGUCGAACGGAGAGGCCCUGCUUUUGUGGGGUGCUCGAGUGGCGAACGGGUGAGUAACACGUGAGUAACCUGCCCUCGACUUUGGGAUAACUUCAGGAAACUGGGGCUAAUACCGGAUAGGAGCUCCUGCUGCAUGGUGGGGGUUGGAAAGUUUCGGCGGUUGGGGAUGGACUCGCGGCUUAUCAGCUUGUUGGUGGGGUAGUGGCUUACCAAGGCUUUGACGGGUAGCCGGCCUGAGAGGGUGACCGGCCACAUUGGGACUGAGAUACGGCCCAGACUCCUACGGGAGGCAGCAGUGGGGAAUAUUGCACAAUGGGCGGAAGCCUGAUGCAGCAACGCCGCGUGCGGGAUGACGGCCUUCGGGUUGUAAACCGCUUUCGCCUGUGACGAAGCGUGAGUGACGGUAAUGGGUAAAGAAGCACCGGCUAACUACGUG